GAUGAACGCUGGCGGCGUGCCUAAUACAUGCAAGUCGAGCGAACAGACGAGGAGCUUGCUCCUCUGACGUUAGCGGCGGACGGGUGAGUAACACGUGGAUAACCUACCUAUAAGACUGGGAUAACUUCGGGAAACCGGAGCUAAUACCGGAUAACAUGUUGAACCGCAUGGUUCAACAGUGAAAGACGGUCCUGCUGUCACUUAUAGAUGGAUCCGCGCCGCAUUAGCUAGUUGGUAAGGUAACGGCUUACCAAGGCAACGAUGCGUAGCCGACCUGAGAGGGUGAUCGGCCACACUGGAACUGAGACACGGUCCAGACUCCUACGGGAGGCAGCAGUAGGGAAUCUUCCGCAAUGGGCGAAAGCCUGACGGAGCAACGCCGCGUGAGUGAAGAAGGUAUUCGGAUCGUAAAACUCUGUUAUUAGGGAAGAACAAAUGUGUAAGUAACUAUGCACGUCUUGACGGUACCUAAUCAGAAAGCCACGGCUAACUACGUG
Molecule: ribosomal RNA, 497 nt
Filed under: uncultured bacterium
Lineage: Bacteria
Description: partial 16S ribosomal RNA
Rfam family: Bacterial small subunit ribosomal RNA
Source: RNAcentral